This is a long non-coding RNA of Gallus gallus (chicken), 1301 nucleotides long. The record is from Ensembl. Lineage: Eukaryota; Metazoa; Chordata; Aves; Galliformes; Phasianidae.
GUUAAAACCAGUAACUACUUAUGCUCUGCUCUGAGGAUUUUCACCUGCUAGUGUCCAGCAUUACUGGCAGCACUACAACAGCAUAUUUUCCCCAUUGAAAUAAUAGACAAGAAUAAUACCGUCUGUGUCCACUUCCUUGGUUGCUUCUGGUUGGCUUCAGCUUCACUAAGUUUGAAGUCAGCCUGAUUUUCUACAGAAAUCAGUGGUCCUAAUCAACAGCAGCCUGCUCCUGUUGGCAACCCACCUGAGCAGGAGAGAUGAACAAGCUGACCUCCAGAGGACCCUUCCUACCUCAGCCAUUCUGUGGUUCUAGACAGCAUUUAUCCAAAGAAAGCAGCAGUAAUACCCAUACUUACAUACCUUAAUCCAAGGCAGGGCAAGAGAAGCCUAUUUCUAGAAGGAAACUGCUGUCAAGAUUGCAUGGAAGACAAAGUCUGCGCACUGUAUGUCUGCUCACAGCUAGGUGUCCCCUAAUACCUUUCUUGCUCCAUUUUGACUUUCCGACUCCAGGUGUCCUCUGCCAGGUAGCAUUAGCCUCUACCAAAUCAUCCUUUAUUAGUGCUCUGAACAUUCAAUUAUAGUCCAUUACAGUAAAACUGGAAGUGCUCCAUGUCUUUUCUCUAGGUGGAUAGACACAGCAGAUAAUAUUUCAGAAAAAAAGGGACAGAAAAUUUUCCCAGCCCCAAAUUUACUAGAUCAUAGAAUUAUAGAAUCAUCUGGGGGACCCUUGAAGGCCAUCCAGUCCAAUUCCCCUGCAAUGAACACGAACACCUACAGCUAGAGCAGGUGCUCACAGCCCUGCCCAGCCCGACCUCGGGUGUCUGCAGGGAUGGCCCAUACACCACUUCUCUGGACAAGAUACUUUUUCAUGUCAGUCUUUAUCUCGUAAUGGCUUAUCUUGCUUUUACCAAGAAUUUUCACUGCCAAAGUUUACUAUUUUCUUCCCAUGUUAAGUUAUCAUUUCUUUUCCACGUAUUCAGAAAGGAUGCUUAAGCCACAAAUCCUCUUGCAGUCAAACAAAUGGUAAUUUGUUCUCCAUGGCAGUCUGAAUGACCAUAUCCUUUCCUAAGAUCUAGUAUACCUGAGACUCCAUUACGCUCGAAGCAUAUACUGCUGACGCUCACUGGCAUACUGUGACUUAUUAUGCAUUACCAAGAUUAAAUUACUUCUGUGAUAUUUUGUGGUGGUUUUGAUCUGUUAAUUAUUUUCUUUUUAACAAGCAGUGGCAAGAGCUGUAUAUAACUAAGAACUCUGAGGGGGGUAUUUGUAAUUUGAAUGAAAUAAAAACCCAUCAACCCAAC